GAACGCUGGCGGCAUGCCUUACACAUGCAAGUCGAACGGUAACAGGUCUUCGGAUGCUGACGAGUGGCGAACGGGUGAGUAAUACAUCGGAACGUGCCCGAUCGUGGGGGAUAACGCAGCGAAAGCUGUGCUAAUACCGCAUACGAUCUACGGAUGAAAGCGGGGGAUCGCAAGACCUCGCGCGGACGGAGCGGCCGAUGGCAGAUUAGGUAGUUGGUGGGAUAAAAGCUUACCAAGCCGACGAUCUGUAGCUGGUCUGAGAGGACGACCAGCCACACUGGGACUGAGACACGGCCCAGACUCCUACGGGAGGCAGCAGUCGAGAAUAGUCUACAAUGGCCGGAAGGCUGAUAGUGCGACGCCGCGUGAACGAGGGAGCCCUUCGGGGUGUAAAGUUCUUUUCUAUACGAGCAGUGCUAUAUAUAUGGAUAGUAUAUAUAGAGGGAUAGUAGUAUAGGAAUAAGCAACGGCUAACUCCGUG
Molecule: ribosomal RNA, 481 nt
Filed under: uncultured bacterium
Lineage: Bacteria
Description: bacterial SSU rRNA
Rfam family: Bacterial small subunit ribosomal RNA
Source: RNAcentral